AAUGCUUCUGUGAACGUUUUAAAAACAGAAACGGAAUUGGCACGCCUGCUGUGUCUUCUCCCGCACUGACCCGUAAAUGAAAUCCUCUGCGCGAUCUUCGCAACUUGGAGAGAAUACCUUUUAGGUAGCGCUGCCAUGUGCUGAGACUUUUGCGGCUUUAUCUGGCUGAACAUUUAAAUUUUCUUUUUAAACACAAAGCACGUCUGUCUGAGCCUGACCCCCCCCUCCCCCUUUCCUGUUUGCUGUCACUGAGUUAUGUCUAUUUAGGGUCCUCAUCUCCUUUUUCCUUCCCUCCCCCAAGUAAGUGCUGGGUCAUAUUACUCUCUCCCCUUGUCCAGUAAUUAUGAGGUGUAGAAGCAACAGGCGAGUACACAUUUGGAUCCUUGUGAACAAGACAACUGACUUCUAAACCAUGCAUGUGUUGGAUGAUACAUUUCAGGGUGAAGGCAAUCUGUGAGAAAUUCUGGUGGAGCUCCACUCAUGAGUGGUCGUUCUGCAUGGACCACCGUGAACUCCAGCUUUAGAAGACCCAAAGACUUACCAAGUUCCCCGGGGAUUAUAAAGCCAUUACGACUCAGCAGUAACAAGUGUUAAGCAUGUUAAGUGCAGUAAUACAUGCAUAAAUCAAGAUUUUUUUUCCCCACGAUGGAAAAAUAAUUUGUUAUAGCCAGUUUAUCCAAACUGACAAAUCUCUUGCCAGUUGCUUUUUUGGGCUAAUAUGAAGUUAAACUCCUUUCUCUAUUGCAUUUAAUUUUCCAUACUCCUCUCAGUGCUGGUCAUCUCUUGUCCUGCAUGGAGUUGACCUCUUCUUCCUCCCCAACUUCCACUACGGAUCUGUGCCCUGAUCAUGACGGCUCCCCAGAGCACCAGUCACCAGACAUUCUCUCACGGCACACAUCCCACUCGAAGGACCAGGGUGGGCUGCGGUAUGGUUUAGGUGUGGCCUGGGCUCAACUACGUCCUUUUCUGCCAUUUUUUUUGAUCAGCUGUCUGGUGGUGGCACUCGUCUACCUGCUCCAUAUCAUCAUUUACAGUGGCCCCUUCACUGACCCGCUCUUCUUUCAAAAAUUUGCCAAGCGCUGGCCCAAACCUCGCCAAGACUGGACCUCCAACUUUGGAAAGACCCCAGCGGAGCAGCUGGGAGACGGCAAAAACAUGACUUGAUGACACAUCACUGAGCCAAACUGAAUAGACCUGGAUGUCAGUAUGAAUAAUGUCUGAACAAGGCAGCUCUCUGUUGCCACCCCUACUCCUCUCUGUUGUUUUUUUAAUCAUUUUGAAACUAUUCAGUUAAAUAUUUUUCAUUUAGUAUACGACUUCAGCUGCAUACCUAGAAUUUGAAAUUGUUUCCAAAAAUGUAUUAACUGUAAUUUUAUCGGUUUACUGCAGAGUCGGUACCAACUGAGCUACCAGAAAAGUGCUGUCAUGUAAGCGUUGCAUAUCGAAGAAACUCUUAUCUUAAUUUUUUUUAUUAUGGAACAGAAAACGGAUAUGUAGAAAAAUAUAUGCGUUUUCCUUUAUAAUUUGAAAUAUGACAAACUGAAAAUGAAUAAAAGUAAUUAAAAACUUG
Brienomyrus brachyistius is the source of this 1570-nucleotide long non-coding RNA. RefSeq lists it as uncharacterized. The transcript has 2 exons. The record is from RefSeq and is a predicted model, not a curated record. NCBI's taxonomy places the organism in Eukaryota, Metazoa, Chordata, Actinopteri, Osteoglossiformes, Mormyridae.